This 465-nucleotide ribosomal RNA is filed under the name uncultured bacterium. RNAcentral describes it as "partial 16S ribosomal RNA". It matches the Rfam family "Bacterial small subunit ribosomal RNA", at positions 338 to 795 of the family's 1533-position model. The record is from RNAcentral.
CCUACGGGGGGCAGCAGUGGGGAAUAUUGCGCAAUGGGCGAAAGCCUGACGCAGCGACGCCGCGUGAGGGAUGAAGGUCUUCGGAUCGUAAACCUCUGUCAGCAGGGAAGAACGGUCACUGUGCUAAUCAGCAGUGAAUUGACGGUACCUGAAGAAGAAGCCCCGGCUAACUACGUGCCAGCAGCCGCGGUAAUACGUAGGGGGCAAGCGUUAUCCGGAUUUACUGGGUGUAAAGGGGGCGCAGACGGCGAUGCAAGCCAGGAGUGAAAGCCCGGGGCCCAACCCCGGGACUGCUCUUGGAACUGCGUGGCUGGAGUGCAGGAGGGGUAGGCGGAAUUCGUGGUGUAGCGGUGAAAUGCGUAGAUAUCAGGAGGAACACCGGUGGCGAAGGCGGCCUGCUGGACUGCAACUGACGUUGAGGCCCGAAAGCGUGGGGAGCAAACAGGAUUAGAUACCCGGGUAGUC